CCCGAAAGGUCGAAAGAUGAGAUUCAUUUACUUUUUAUCGUAUAUUAACCAACUUGUAUUUGUAAGUGACAAAAUUUAUUAUUAUUUUUUAUUGUAAUUUUUUUUUUUUAUGAUAUUUAAUUAAUUUAUAAAAUUAUUGCACUACUAUAUGUUGUGUAUAAUAACGAGGUAUGCACUUCUCAUCUUGUAGGACGUCGCGACCCGUUAAAUAUUGAUUUAUGAAAUAUUUUUGUGCAUUGUAUAUUAUACUAUGGAUUUAUUUUUAUUUGUGUAAUAUAUGCCUAUAUUAUCUGAUCAAUUGUUUGACGGUAUAAAUAUACAAUUAAAAGAUUAAGUGUGAUAUUUAAAAGAAAUUUUUUUUAUUACACGUUCAUAUCCUAUAACGAGUAUAUAUGGGUUCUAUUGGGAAUAUUUUUUUAUUUUUAUUCUUAAUAAACAAAUGAUUAUAUUUGGUUUUUAUACCAAUAAAUCAUACUGUAUUACUGUCAGUUUAUAGGUGUUCUUCGGAACAUAUUUGAACAAUAAUCUUUUUGUCAGCGACGCUAUAGCUUUGGGUACUUUCAGGACCCGUCUUGAAACACGGACCAAGGAGUCUAGCAUGUGCGCAAGUCAUUGGGAAUAAAAUAUUUUUUCAUCGAAAUAUUAAUAAAUUUUAUGAAACCCAAAGGCGAAAUGAAAGUAAAAUAAUUUAUUAUAAUUAAAAUUUUUUUUUUUUUUUUUUUAAAUUUGAGGGAGGAUAUAUUUUUAUUAUGUAUAAAAUAUCGCACUCCCAGGGCAUCUUAUAUUAUUCUUAUAAUUAUUUUAUAAUUUUUAUUAUGAAUAAAGGUGCACCUAGAGCGUACACGCUGGGACCCGAAAGAUGGUGAACUAUGCCUGGUCAGGACGAAGUCAGGGGAAACCCUGAUGGAGGUCCGUAGCGAUUYUGACGUGCAAAUCGAUCGUCGGAACUGGGUAUAGGGGSGAAAGACUAAUCGAACCAUCUAGUAGCUGGUUCCCUCCGAAGUUUCCCUCAGGAUAGCUGGCGUUCAUCAUUCAACGAGUCUCAUCCGGUAAAGCGAAUGAUUAGAGGCCUUGGGGCCGAAACGACCUCAACCUAUUCUCAAACUUUAAAUGGGUGAGAUCUCUAGCUUGCUUAAAAUCAUAUUAUUUGUAUUGAUUUUUUUUUUAUUUUGGUAUAUUGUAUAUGUGAAGCUAUGAGAAUAAUAUUUUUUUGUAAUUAUAUUUAUGGAUCAGAAUGCCAAGUGGGCCACUUUU
RNAcentral lists this ribosomal RNA (1254 nucleotides) under Palpares angustus. Its description in RNAcentral is "partial 28S ribosomal RNA". The stretch from base 584 to 1254 matches the Rfam family "Eukaryotic large subunit ribosomal RNA", at positions 665 to 1138 of the family's 3401-position model. The record is from RNAcentral. Lineage: Eukaryota; Metazoa; Arthropoda; Insecta; Neuroptera; Myrmeleontidae.